GUUAGUUUUUCUACACCACAGCAGCUGGCUAAAACUCAUAAACAGGAGUCUGACACUGCAGAAGAGAGUGACAAAAAGGAAUCAUGCAACAGGAUGGAGGAGUGCUCAGCUGCCAAGCAAGAGUCCCAAUUACAAGUAGAGGUGUUUCCUAUAAUUCAGCUUACUUUACCCUUCUAACUUCUAGCAUAAAACGUACCCUGCAACAGGCUGGCUGUAUUUCAGUGGUAAAACAUGGUAUUAUUUUGCAAUCAGAAUUGAUACUGUUGGUAUAGCCACAAUGGUUGUCCCAGAACCCGAGGUGCAAGAUGUGCGAGGUAAGGAAGUCUUUCAUUUGACCAAUUUGAGAUUUAAAUUGUCAGUUGUCACUGGUUAUUACCCUUCCAAGUAGUCAAUUCAUUAUCAAAAUUAGGUUAAAACUAAAGCAAUUGUUUUAAACUUGUACUAAGCACAGACUAUACUGCUUCUUUUCUCAGAUCUGAUGAAGGGCAGCUGCUGCCUGAGUUUUCCCCCAACAUCUCUUUCAGGUAUUCCAGAAGUUCCAAUAAAUAAAAAGAAAAAGAAAAAAAACAGAACUGCUGUUAGAAUGCAUGUUACCUUUAAAGCCAAUCUUGAGCUAGACAAUGACUUUCUAGAAAAGUUUUUAAAAACAAACCCAUGCAAAGAACCUUAAGUAAAUCUUGACAGUAAAAGACACUUUUCUGGAUUUCAGCCAUGAAAUCAACCAGUUCAAAGCCCUGAGACAAGAUGUGCUUCCAGUGGCUUACAGCUUUCCUAAAGAUACCAGUAGAGCUGAAACCAAGCAUGAAACUUCAGACUGAGGGAGACUUACUUUGGGAAUUCAUUCUUACAGUUAUUUCAGCUGCAGAAAUUUAACUGAAUAGGAAACUGCCUGCGAAUGGAAAGGGGAAAUCAGCUAAGACGUGCACGUGAUCUGGCUUGUCUCCUUGGAUGCUGGUGUUUAAAGACUAUAGAAAGAGAAACUCAACCCUCCUCCCCCAUACACACACUCUUUAGAAUAACAAGACUUGAUACCCAUUUGUAGUUUUAUUUCUUGGCUUUUAAAAGGAGAGACCCCAAACUUCUCAACUAAGGCAUCAACUCAUUCUGACACUUAAGUCAUCAUGUUUGCAAGGUACUAGUUCUAGAAUUUGUAUAACAUCUUUAAAAGAAAAGAAAAACAAAAACAAAAAACCACAAAGCUCUUGUUAAAUCAGAGCAUUCCUGGCAUUGCCUUCCAAUAUGCCAAUAUACAAAGCCAAUACUUUGAAAAAAGUCCAUACCACUAGAAGGGGUAAAGAGAUUUAAAAAAUCCUGUCACCAAGUGUUACUUUUGAUAAAAAAUAACAAACAA
Gavialis gangeticus (Gharial) is the source of this 1351-nucleotide long non-coding RNA. RefSeq lists it as uncharacterized. The record is from RefSeq and is a predicted model, not a curated record. The transcript is spliced from 2 exons. Lineage: Eukaryota; Metazoa; Chordata; Crocodylia; Gavialidae.